This 449-nucleotide ribosomal RNA is filed under the name uncultured bacterium. RNAcentral's name for it is "bacterial SSU rRNA". It matches the Rfam family "Bacterial small subunit ribosomal RNA", at positions 355 to 796 of the family's 1533-position model. The record is from RNAcentral.
UGGGGAAUCUUGCGCAAAUGCGGGAAACCGUGACGCAGCGACGCCGCGUGGGGGAAGAAGGCCUUCGGGUUGUAAACCUCUUUCAGGAGGGACGAAGCUACUCGGGUUAAUAGCCCAGAGGGUGACGGUACCUUCAGAAGAAGCCCCGGCUAACUACGUGCCAGCAGCCGCGGUAAUACGUAGGGGGCAAGCGUUGUCCGGAUUUAUUGGGCGUAAAGAGCGUGUAGGCGGCUUGGUAGGUCUGCUGUGAAAACUCGAGGCUCAACCUCGAGCUGUCGGCGGAAACCACUUGGCUAGAGUCCGGAAGAGGAGAGUGGAAUUCCUGGUGUAGCGGUGAAAUGCGCAGAUAUCAGGAAGAACACCUAUGGCGAAGGCAGCUCUCUGGGACGGUACUGACGCUGAGACGCGAAAGCGUGGGGAGCGAACAGGAUUAGAUACCCCCGUAGUCC